Molecule: long non-coding RNA, 843 nt
Filed under: Anas platyrhynchos platyrhynchos (common mallard)
Lineage: Eukaryota; Metazoa; Chordata; Aves; Anseriformes; Anatidae
Description: lncRNA (ENSAPLG00000025243.1)
Source: RNAcentral
GUGCACGAGAGGUAGCCACAGAUAAGAGCUACCAACUCUGUGGAGAGCAAAGGAAGGGAUGGAGCUGGCUGCUCACUGCAGUACAUUGUCCAAAUGUUGCUGUGCCUUUGCAGACUGGCAUUAUAGACAGAUCGUGCUGCUUCAGAUGCUGUCUGGAAAAUUGAUACAGCCUUUUAAAUCACCUGAAUGCUUUGCCAUCACUAUUUGCUGAGCAGCAUAACUCCAGGCAUAAUAUGCUUAUGGGGGUAUUUUAAUUCAGCAGGCUGAUCCUGCCAUCUCACGGUGGUGGCUGGGGAGAGCACUAAGCCUCCCCUGUUGUACUGCGGGCUGGGGCUAGGCCAGACGUACAUGUAUGUUUGGGCCUACGCCCAGGUCCACAGCCCACAGCAAGGCAGCGGGGCUAUCCACGGGUCCAGGCCAAGGCUGAAAGCCGCCUCGAGGCCUGGGCGGCUUAGACAGUGGUGUCCCUGCUUGCUUCAUCAUUACCACCGCUUGCAGCUGUGGGCCAGGGCCGUGGGCUGAGCCACCACUGUUGAGCAGGUGCUUCAGAUGAGGGCCCAGCCACCUGUGAGUGCUCUGCUGAGCUGAUGAGCCCUCAAGGGUUUGGCACACGGACGCAUGGGGCUUGUUUACCUCAGCAGCAGCACACCAGACUCCUGCUUGCAUAGCCCACUACUAAGUGCAGUGGCAGAGGAGAAAGCUGUUCUGCAGCUGGGUGAGCCCAGAAUGGCCUGCUUUGUUUACGCCUCAUCCCUGUCUUUUCAGGAUGACUCUGACUACAGCAUCUCCUUGAUUCAGAAGGACACUGCAGAGAGAGAGUGGGGCUGGAAAGGACAACCUUAA